This is an RNA transcript of Cervus elaphus (red deer), 861 nucleotides long. It is a transcript of the gene named complement receptor type 1-like, with no coding region annotated. Lineage: Eukaryota; Metazoa; Chordata; Mammalia; Artiodactyla; Cervidae. The transcript has 5 exons. The record is from RefSeq and is a predicted model, not a curated record.
UGGAGGUGGAUCUCUUCUCUCUGGAGUGCAAGAAAAUGUACAAUGUAUGUCAGCCACCUCCAGAAAUGCUGCAUGGCAAACACACUCCAAACCACAAGGAUGACUGUUCUCCUGGACAGGAAGUGUUCUAUAGCCCGGCUAUGAUCUCAGAUUGUCUGCUUCUCUGUGCUGCACAUCCCAGGGAGACUGGAGCCCGGCAGACCCGCAAUGUGCCCAUACUCUCUGAAAUUUUCUGUCCAAAUCAACCUGAUAUCCUUAGUUGGAGACACAGAAGAAAACCUCUGGAAGUCUUUCCUUUUGGAAAAGAAGUAACUUACAUGUGUGACCUGCAUCUAGAAAGGGAUGGACUUCAGCCCCACUGGGGAGAGCACCAUCUGCAGCACCAGUGACAGUCAGGGGAGAGGAAUCUGGAGAGGUCCUGUCCCUCAUUGCACACUUCCAGCUUAGUGCUCACUACCCCACAUUCCAAAAGGCUUCAGAAUAUCUAAACAAGACUCUCCAAAUUUCCGUAAUUACAAGGUCACUGUAAUGCCCUAGGUCAUUUCCAAUUUGCCAAAUUGAAUAUCUAAACCAAUGAAACAGAGUUUCCCAUUGGGACAUCAUUAAUGUAUGAAUGCUACCCUGAGUACCACAGGAAAUCAUUCUCUAUCAUGUGUCUACAAACUCUCACAUGGUCAAGUGCCAAAGAUGUCUGUAAAUAUGCAGGUCUAGGUGAUGUCAAGAACUGAUGGAUCUCAUGAUUCAAGACAGAGUUUUGGAUUUUAGUUAAUUCUUAGGAUUAAAAAUUUUGUUUUGUUUUAAAGUGAACCACUGCCCCAGUAUGAAAAUUAAAUCUUCUCCUGAGACCAGGGCUUUUGAAAU